Non-coding RNA from Paramuricea clavata, 97 nucleotides. The record is from the annotation of a GenBank genome assembly. Lineage: Eukaryota; Metazoa; Cnidaria; Anthozoa; Malacalcyonacea; Plexauridae.
AACUUCGUUCCCAGGGCUUUCGAGUGAGGACGGGGGGAGGGGAGAGACGAGAUCGUCUCUCCCCUCGUCCUCACUCGAAAGCCCUGGGAACGAGGUU